Molecule: long non-coding RNA, 547 nt
Organism: Pantherophis guttatus
Lineage: Eukaryota; Metazoa; Chordata; Lepidosauria; Squamata; Colubridae
Source: RefSeq, a predicted model, not a curated record
AGUGACUCAGACCAAUACAGGUGUUAACAACUGUGGGGGAAAAAACAAUUAACGUAUAAACUGUCAGCUCUACAAAAGAAGACAGCUAACUACAAAAGGCUAAUGGAUGAUUAGUGUUACAUAUGGUGAAGGUUUUAUAUACAUUACAUGGAGAUGGAAUCCUAUCGAAAUACCCAUAAUGGAGGAAUGGAUCGUGAAGAUACUUAAGUUUGCAGAAAUGGCCAAAUUGAUGUUUUAUUAAGGAGGGAGCUACAGUUAUUUUUAUAAAAGACUGGAAAUACUUUAUGGACAUUUUUGCUGAAAAUGGAUAAAAAUGAACUGGUGAUUUUGGGAUUUACUUAAAUUAUAAAACCUUUAAAUUAUAAAGGUUUAUUUAUUGGAAGAAAGAACCAUGCAAUGUAAUUUGGGAGGAUGGAGAUGGUAAUUACUGUGUUUGAAACUGCUGCAAAGAAGAUCGGUUCUUUAGAUACUUUUCUUUUUCUAGUUAUCUGUCUCUUUUUCUUUAAUUCCUUGCCAUAUGUUAAAUAAAUAAAAUCUUUAACUCCUA